UUCAAGUUGCAUUAUCAGUACCAUAACCACUACAUGUCAAUAUAGUGGUUAUGGUCUCUAUAGGCCAAUUUUGAGUCAAGCUAUUUUUGAGUAGUCCACAGGUCUGCCCCCCUCACUGGAAUUGCUAAUACAGAAGUUUCACUCCCCUUUAAUCUCGUCCAUAGUUUAAAACUCUCCAUUGGCUUGCUUGCUCUGCUAAUAAAAGUCUUCAAAAUGUGAUUUAUACAGCAAUAGACAGAUUCCACUUUUAAGCAAAGCUAAUAAGAACAUAUCAAUACACAUAAUCAUGCUGAGACAAAUAAAUUAUAGCAGUAAGGUUUAAAUGCAGAAUUCUCAUACUAUGGAGAGAUAGAUCUGGUGUACACGUGAUGUUCUUUAUUAGUUAAAUGUUAACCAGUUAAACAGCAGAAGAUAUAGAGGGACUGUCUUGCUAUAGAACCUGGUACGGCCUGUCCAAGGUAUGUGCUUAGAGGUCACUUCUGCAGAAAACGCCACUAGUUCUUCCUCUGGAAAUUUGUUUAAAG
Molecule: non-coding RNA, 524 nt
Organism: Pelobates cultripes (western spadefoot toad)
Lineage: Eukaryota; Metazoa; Chordata; Amphibia; Anura; Pelobatidae
Source: the annotation of a GenBank genome assembly